GGACACACUCUAAUAUUCUUAUUUCCUUCUGCAACUGUGGCACCCAAACCUGCACCCAGUGCUUGGGGUGAGGCCUCACAGAGCAGAGCAGAGCGGGACAAGCCCUCCCCUCACCUGGCUUGCAGUGUGAAUGAGAACAAGAUAUUGAAUGGGCAGAGGACUAAAAAUGAGACACCAUUCAAGAAGCAUGAGAAACAGGGCAAGAAUUUCAGAGUUGUUGCAAUUUUAAGGCUUUGGCCAAAGACUGUGGAACUGCUGGUGGUACAACGCUUUGAGACAGAUGUGAAUCAACCAGAAGCUGUCCAUCUGGAGAAUGAAGGGGAUCUGGAAAACAGGACAGGGAAGGAAGGCUGAAGGAGAAGGAGUUAAUCUGAAGGAGGAAAACUUGAGACUAGAAUAUGACAGCAAGAAUCAAAGAUUAAAAAAAAGCUGAUGUUGGCCAGGAGGGAAUAAUUCCUUCUUUCUGUCUGUUAUGGUUGGGACAAGAAGCAAC
This 493-nucleotide long non-coding RNA is filed under the name Numida meleagris (helmeted guineafowl). Its description in RNAcentral is "lncRNA (ENSNMEG00000004469.1)". The record is from RNAcentral. Lineage: Eukaryota; Metazoa; Chordata; Aves; Galliformes; Numididae.